AUGCAGCUGACGAGUCCCAAGUAGGACGAAACGCGAGUCCUGGAC
Molecule: non-coding RNA, 45 nt
Filed under: Schistosoma mansoni
Lineage: Eukaryota; Metazoa; Platyhelminthes; Trematoda; Strigeidida; Schistosomatidae
Source: RNAcentral